AAUGAAAUCCUUAAUCUUUAAAACUAAUUUCACCGUCAGUCCCUAGCCUCUAUCUAUUUUUUCACUUUAGUCCCUAACCUCUUCUCACAUUGCGCGUCCAUCCCGUCGAAAUCCGGUCUCACCACCCUCUAUCCGUCGAGGAAUUCUACACUAUCACACUUACACUACAUCAUCAAUAACAAACCAAUCGUAUUCCUUCCUUUCAAACAAAAGUACAAUAAUAAUAUUUUUUUACAAUCAUGAUGGGACAUAUACCCCUAAAAGAAAAUAUUUGAUUGGUCUGUUAUGCCACGUCACCAAUAUACCCAUUGCAUUCUAGAAUUUUUCCUAUCUGCCGCCCUACCUAUGAUCACCUCGAUCUU
Molecule: long non-coding RNA, 362 nt
Filed under: Ananas comosus (pineapple)
Lineage: Eukaryota; Viridiplantae; Streptophyta; Magnoliopsida; Poales; Bromeliaceae
Description: long non-coding RNA (ACOM_LNC028441)
Source: RNAcentral